This 139-nucleotide small nucleolar RNA is filed under the name Sorex araneus (European shrew). RNAcentral describes it as "Small nucleolar RNA SNORA31 (ENSSARG00000019571.1)". The record is from RNAcentral. Lineage: Eukaryota; Metazoa; Chordata; Mammalia; Eulipotyphla; Soricidae.
UGGAUCUGUUUGACAGACCCACAGCAGUUGCUUAUCUGCUGCCAAGGUUUCCACUACAGAUCUGAGAAAAAAAAAGUAUGUCCUUGUGCUUCCUGCCUAACUGAUAACAGUAUCUCAGAUUGAAUGGGAAAAUACAGGA